AACGAACGCUGGCGGCAUGCCUAACACAUGCAAGUCGAACGAUAUCUUCGGGUCUAGUGGCGCACGGGUGCGUAACGCGUGGGAAUCUGCCCUUUGGUUCGGAAUAACAGUUGGAAACGACUGCUAAUACCGGAUGAUGACGAAAGUCCAAAGAUUUAUCGCCAGAGGAUGAGCCCGCGUAGGAUUAGCUAGUUGGUGUGGUAAAGGCGCACCAAGGCGACGAUCCUUAGCUGGUCUGAGAGGAUGAUCAGCCACACUGGGACUGAGACACGGCCCAGACUCCUACGGGAGGAAGCAGUGGGGAAUAUUGGACAAUGGGCGAAAGCCUGAUCCAGCAAUGCCGCGUGAGUGAUGAAGGCCUUAGGGUUGUAAAGCUCUUUUACCCGGGAUGAUAACGACAGUACCGGGAGAAUAAGCUCCGGCUAACUCCGUGCCAGCAGCCGCCGUAA
This 449-nucleotide ribosomal RNA is filed under the name uncultured bacterium. RNAcentral describes it as "partial 16S ribosomal RNA". It matches the Rfam family "Bacterial small subunit ribosomal RNA", at positions 29 to 523 of the family's 1533-position model. The record is from RNAcentral.